UGCUUUUAUGUUGUAAGUUAUGAACAACUUCAUUUACAAAGCGAAGUUGAAAGCAAAAUUUAAUUAAAAGUAUUCAGUGCUAUUCUAAGGAUUGCAA
RNAcentral lists this transfer RNA (97 nucleotides) under Belgica antarctica. RNAcentral's name for it is "tRNA IU25_tRNA_27". Lineage: Eukaryota; Metazoa; Arthropoda; Insecta; Diptera; Chironomidae. The record is from RNAcentral.